RNAcentral lists this ribosomal RNA (429 nucleotides) under Gemmatimonadota bacterium. RNAcentral's name for it is "Gemmatimonadetes bacterium partial 16S ribosomal RNA". It matches the Rfam family "Bacterial small subunit ribosomal RNA", at positions 355 to 776 of the family's 1533-position model. Lineage: Bacteria; Pseudomonadati; Gemmatimonadota. The record is from RNAcentral.
UAGGGAAUAUUCGGCAAUGGACGAAAGUCUGACCGAGCAACGCCGCGCGUGUGAAGAAGGUUUUCGGAUCGUAAAACUCUGUUGUUAGAGAAGAACAAGGACGUUAGUAACUGAACGUCCCCUGACGGUAUCUAAUCAGAAAGCCACGGCUAACUACGUGCCAGCACACGCGGUAAUACGUAGGUGGCAAGCGUUGUCCGGAGUUAGUGGGCGUAAAGCGAGCGCAGGCGGUUUCUUAAGUCGGAUGUGAAAGCCCCCGGCUCAACAGGGGAGGGUCAUUGGAAACUGGGAGACUUGAGUGCAGAAGAGGAGAGUGGAAAUCCAUGUGGGGGGGUGAAAUGCGUAGAUAUAUGGAGGAACACCAGUGGCGAAGGCGGCUCUCUGGUCUGUAACUGACGCUGAGGCUCGAAAGCGUGGGGAGCAAACAGG